AGAAAUCAGUAGGCACUUGUCUUCUAUUUCUUUCAAGCCAUUGUUUCUACUUCCUGGAGAACGGCAGCAAUACUGAACAUCCAAGUUUUGGGCAGAGCUGUAGAGGCCUCCCCUCGUCCCUUUAUUUUGUUUGCUGUGGAGAAUUAGUUUAUCCGCAACUUUCUAGUAGAUGUCAGGUUUUCAGGUGCAGCAUGAUAAAUAAAAGGGUUUGGUUCCAUCAUUCAUGAUAAUGCCGUAUCUACUUAUCUAAUGCCAACUCUACUACGGUUUCUGUAUCUUUUGUUUUGCAGUCUCCUCAAACAGCACGAAUCCACUUGAGCACAGCGAAAAAUGGCUGUUUGAUGUAGGUGAACAGCUAUUCUGCAUUGCGUCCUUUUGUCUCUUUUUAUUCGGGUCACAAUGGUCAAUGUUUACACUACUCUUAAUUUAGCUCCCCAUCAAGUUGAUAGGGGACAAGAGGGAGAUAGACUCUACCUCUAGACUAAUAAAGGGGUUUGUGCUACUACACAUUCUUCGGAUUUAAAAGCAACUGGAAGAAUUUGAACUCCUGACUGCAGUUACGACUACAUCUUUAUAUGUUGCUUGGUGGGUUAAGUCAUUUGUGGUGAGUAGGGGUGUUAGAGAGUUGAGUUGAGCUUAAAUACUGUUAUGCUCAAGCUCGAAUUCAAUGCUACACAAGGCCACUCGAAAUCAAGUUCGACUCGAGAGAACAGAAAAUUGUGUAACUCGACUCGACAAUAUGUAUUUUCAAGCUCGAACUCAGACUUGUUAGCCUCGAGCCUUAACAAGAUUGUGGACUUGAAAUAAAAUUUGAAAAACAGCUCAAAAACUUAAUAG
Molecule: long non-coding RNA, 837 nt
Filed under: Coffea arabica (coffee)
Lineage: Eukaryota; Viridiplantae; Streptophyta; Magnoliopsida; Gentianales; Rubiaceae
Description: long non-coding RNA (CARA_LNC001069)
Source: RNAcentral